CUUGGUCACCUGAUGAUACCCAAUUAUGCAUAGUUCAUCUGAUUACAUCUGAUGACAACUUACAUCAAAUAGUCUUUCGCUCCCAUCUGACUUCA
Molecule: small nucleolar RNA, 95 nt
Filed under: Xylariales sp. No.14919
Lineage: Eukaryota; Fungi; Ascomycota; Sordariomycetes; Xylariales
Description: fungal sp. No.14919 Small nucleolar RNA snR60/Z15/Z230/Z193/J17
Rfam family: Small nucleolar RNA snR60/Z15/Z230/Z193/J17
About the family: The members of this family belong to the C/D class of snoRNAs which contain the C (UGAUGA) and D (CUGA) box motifs. Most of the members of the box C/D family function in directing site-specific 2'-O-methylation of substrate RNAs.
Source: Rfam by way of RNAcentral